GGGGAUUUAGCUCAGUGGUAGAGCACUUGCCUAGUAAGCGCAAGGUCCUGGGUUCGGUUCUCAGCUCCG
This is a non-coding RNA of Rattus norvegicus (Norway rat), 69 nucleotides long. The record is from Rfam. NCBI's taxonomy places the organism in Eukaryota, Metazoa, Chordata, Mammalia, Rodentia, Muridae.